Molecule: long non-coding RNA, 1977 nt
Filed under: Phasianus colchicus (ring-necked pheasant)
Lineage: Eukaryota; Metazoa; Chordata; Aves; Galliformes; Phasianidae
Description: lncRNA (ENSPCLG00000004773.1)
Source: RNAcentral
AAUAAAAAGGGAGGUAGGAAGAAAAAAGAAAAAAAAAAGAGGGAAAGAGAAGUCAUUACUUAAGCUGCUGAAGAAAAAUACACUGCAAUAUGCACCCAGCCCAAGAAGAGUGAAAUGGCACAGUGCUGGUGUAAUUGUAAACGGCUGUAGAAAAUACAAUCUUUCGUGACGAAUUCCCAGGCCAUGGUCUCCAUUUGUCAGGUAACAAGCUUACCUGCAAUGCAGAUAAGUAAAGCAUGAAAAGAUUGCUUACUAGUAAAGCCUUCCUCCACCUUUCCCCUCCCUCCCAUAGCCAGCACGUUCCCAUUGAACAUGUUCACAGACUUAGCCAACUUGUCUCUAUUGUCUGUCUGGUAAUUCACCUAUGGAAAAGGAGGUAUCAGAUGCUGUUCAACAGAGACUUGAAACUGAGCCUGAGCGUAAGAGGGAGAGCUCCGUUCCAAACAAACACGUGACCAGAAGCUGACAUACAUUACCAACAACAUAUGGAAAAGUUUGUACCUUUCUGAGCAGGCAGAUUUACAAGGUGAGCUCUCAUAAGCCCCUAAAGAGAGGAAGAUGCUUCCCUGUCUUUUGUAUGUUUUAGCAAUGAAAUAAAAAUCCUUUCAGAUCUAAAUCCAGCAAAUAAAGAUCUCCUCUUUCUUUACAUUUCUUUACAGAAGCUUUUGAACCUCUGUAUUGCUCUCAACUUUUUUCUUUCUUUUUAACUCAUUUUGGGAUAAUGAAAUAUGCCACAGUGCCUGAGCUGGAUCUCUCUCCCUCUCUUUCCUUUCUUUACCUUUCCAUCUCUCUCUCUCUCCAGGAGCAGUACAAGAGCACUGUGCUGUAGCCAUGGACCACCUGCUGACCGGACAUCUCAGAGGCUCUCCAACAGUUUACUUCUACAGCCUAUACUGCAAAAGCCAACAUCAGCAUCGCUUAGUAAGUUUGCAGAGAGAUGUAACUUCUCAUCUUCAACACAACUAGACUUGACAUGAAGAGCAGCAAAAAGAGAGAGUUCAGCAGUUUUCAGGACCACAUUGCUUAGUGACAUUCCCAUACAAUCCAAGGUAAGAGAAUUAAUCAAAUAACAUCUGACCCAAACCUUCACUUAGACUGGAAGAUAGCAGGGAAAAUAUGUCUGUAGGAAGGCCAGCUUUCCGUUCUUUCUUGUACAGAGCCUGACAGAAGAAAAAUAGGAGAAAAAUUCUUAUCUUCUAUCCAGAGGUCUCUAGAGAUUUUGAUUUCCCCUUGCAGUGGCCUCAGAGCAUCCACAUGACUGGACUUCAUGGAUUAUCUGGAUUAUAUUACAAUAUGGAUGUAAGUAGACAGUAUCAAAUUUUUUUCCAAGCAAAUAUGGUCGCCUUAUUUUACAGUUAAAGUAUGGGAAUGGCAUCCUGCCCCACUCUGUGUAAGAAAAAGCAAUAGCACAGAAAAAAUCUCUGACCUUGGUUUAUUCCCUCUACUGCACUUCCAACCCCCAUCCCUUCUUAACAGACCAUUCCUCUCUAAAACCUAAUUAAAAGAAAGGCUUGAAAAACUAAUUUAACCUCUCCUUAGUAUUUCUUCUAUCUCCCCAUGAGAAAUCCUAACUGGAGAGUUAGAAACAAAUCCAUCAAGAUUUUCACUUCAUUAAAUUGCAUAUGUCUUGAUCACAGAACUAAUGGGAGUCCAUUUAUCCUCUCAUUCCUUAUAUUACUUCAGAGCAGCAACAGGGGGCUGAUCUUAAGUCACACUAUUUCCUGACAAAGGCAUGUCAGUUCAGGACAUGUGUACCUCUAAACUAAAUUUUGCCCGAAUACAGAGACAAUGGAUCAGCUCAGUGCAGCAUCUCUUCUUUUCCUGCCAUACUAAAUUUUUAUUCAGCUUUCCAGCUGCUCUGACUCAGGUCGGUGACUUGCCCAAGGUUAAAAGCUGAGUCAGGAGCUUGGAAACCCCAUAAUCCUGCUGACUCCCAGCUCAGCUUGGGCCAUAGAAGCCCUCAGUGUCAACCCUCUC